CCACUCUUAAGCACAAUCAAAACUAAGAUGGUAAAAAGAUCAAAUCAAAGAUUCUCUCAUCUCUCUCCCUCUCUCCUUCCAAAGGUCCUUACCAACAAAAUGAUAAGCCCACCACCAAAGAGUCUAGUAGAUGUGUAGCUGCCCCAACAACCAUCUCUCUCCAUAUAUAGGCAUCCGAAAAAUAACAAGAAUACCUUUACAUGAAGCAUACAACUCAAAUACCCCACAGGGGUAAAACCGUCCAACUUUUUAUUAGUAUAUUGGACGGACCCAACGCCUUCACAACUUUGC
RNAcentral lists this long non-coding RNA (291 nucleotides) under Setaria italica (foxtail millet). RNAcentral's name for it is "long non-coding RNA (SITA_LNC001953)". Lineage: Eukaryota; Viridiplantae; Streptophyta; Magnoliopsida; Poales; Poaceae. The record is from RNAcentral.